RNAcentral lists this ribosomal RNA (536 nucleotides) under uncultured Bifidobacterium sp. Its description in RNAcentral is "bacterial SSU rRNA". It matches the Rfam family "Bacterial small subunit ribosomal RNA", at positions 355 to 896 of the family's 1533-position model. The record is from RNAcentral. Lineage: Bacteria; Bacillati; Actinomycetota; Actinomycetes; Bifidobacteriales; Bifidobacteriaceae.
UGGGGAAUAUUGCACAAUGGGCGCAAGCCUGAUGCAGCGACGCCGCGUGAGGGAUGGAGGCCUUCGGGUUGUAAACCUCUUUUGUUAGGGAGCAAGGCACUUUGUGUUGAGUGUACCUUUCGAAUAAGCACCGGCUAACUACGUGCCAGCAGCCGCGGUAAUACGUAGGGUGCAAGCGUUAUCCGGAAUUAUUGGGCGUAAAGGGCUCGUAGGCGGUUCGUCGCGUCCGGUGUGAAAGUCCAUCGCUCAACGGUGGAUCCGCGCCGGGUACGGGCGGGCUUGAGUGCGGUAGGGGAGACUGGAAUUCCCGGUGUAACGGUGGAAUGUGUAGAUAUCGGGAAGAACACCAAUGGCGAAGGCAGGUCUCUGGGCCGUUACUGACGCUGAGGAGCGAAAGCGUGGGGAGCGAACAGGAUUAGAUACCCUGGUAGUCCACGCCGUAAACGGUGGAUGCUGGAUGUGGGGCCCGUUCCACGGGUUCCGUGUCGGAGCUAACGCGUUAAGCAUCCCGCCUGGGGAGUACGGCCGCAAGGCUA